UACGUAGGGGGCAAGCGUUGUCCGGAAUCAUUGGGCGUAAAGAGCGUGUAGGCGGCUUGGUAAGUCUGCUGUGAAAGUCCAGGGCUCAACCCUGGAAUGCCGGUGGAAACUGUCAAGCUUGAGUCCGGAAGAGGCGAGUGGAAUUCCUGGUGUAGCGGUGAAAUGCGCAGAUAUCAGGAGGAACACCAAUGGCGAAGGCAGCUCGCUGGGACGGUACUGACGCUGAGACGCGAAAGCGUGGGGAGCAAACAGG
RNAcentral lists this ribosomal RNA (253 nucleotides) under uncultured bacterium. RNAcentral's name for it is "partial 16S ribosomal RNA". It matches the Rfam family "Bacterial small subunit ribosomal RNA", at positions 524 to 776 of the family's 1533-position model. The record is from RNAcentral.